RNAcentral lists this transfer RNA (75 nucleotides) under Bacillus phage 010DV004. Its description in RNAcentral is "tRNA-Asn". It matches the Rfam family "tRNA". Rfam says of the family: Transfer RNA (tRNA) molecules are approximately 80 nucleotides in length. The record is from RNAcentral. Lineage: Duplodnaviria; Heunggongvirae; Uroviricota; Caudoviricetes; Herelleviridae. RNAcentral also lists the same sequence under 2 other names.
UUGUCCCAUAGCUCAAUGGUAGAGCUCCCGGCUGUUAACCGGAAGGUUGCUGGUUCGAGCCCAGCUGGGACAGUC